CUACGGGCCGCUCCAGUGGGGAAUAUUGCACAAUGGGCGCAAGCCUGAUGCAGCCAUGCCGCGUGUAUGAAGAAGGCCUUCGGGUUGUAAAGUACUUUCAGCGGGGAGGAAGGGAGUAAAGUUAAUACCUUUGCUCAUUGACGUUACCCGCAGAAGAAGCACCGGCUAACUCCGUGCCAGCAGCCGCGGUAAUACGGAGGGUGCAAGCGUUAAUCGGAAUUACUGGGCGUAAAGCGCACGCAGGCGGUUUGUUAAGUCAGAUGUGAAAUCCCCGGGCUCAACCUGGGAACUGCAUCUGAUACUGGCAAGCUAGAGGCUCGUAGAGGGGGGUAGAAUUCCAGGUGUAGCGGUGAAAUGCGUAGAGAUCUGGAGGAAUACCGGUGGCGAAGGCGGCCCCCUGGACGAAGACUGACGCUCAGGUGCGAAAGCGUGGGGAGCAAGCAGGAUUAGAUACCCUCGUAGUC
This 464-nucleotide ribosomal RNA is filed under the name uncultured bacterium. RNAcentral's name for it is "partial 16S ribosomal RNA". It matches the Rfam family "Bacterial small subunit ribosomal RNA", at positions 339 to 795 of the family's 1533-position model. The record is from RNAcentral.